Molecule: long non-coding RNA, 331 nt
Filed under: Sorghum bicolor (sorghum)
Lineage: Eukaryota; Viridiplantae; Streptophyta; Magnoliopsida; Poales; Poaceae
Description: long non-coding RNA (SBIC_LNC015920)
Source: RNAcentral
AUGUCCUUAGGGUUUGCAGUAUUAAGACACAUGCAAUGGAAAGUAAAUGUAUUUAAAGUUUGUAGGUACAAUAUGAUCAAAGGGUGCCUGCACAUGCCUUUAUUCCCAGUAUAUAACUGCUCAGAAAUCUUUGGCUUCUUUCUUCUGAUCUCCAACUUCUGCUUCGACUGUCGGUCCUCAGCUCCUGGUCUUCACUGUUGACGAACCACGUUUCUUCUACUCGUAGCAACCAAGCAACACAAACAGACAAACAAACAAUCACGACUAAGAACAAACGACAAGCAAAAGAAAAGCUAUGAAAGAAAGCGUACUAAAUGAUAUGACUUAUUGC